GUGGGGAAUUUUGGACAAUGGGGGCAACCCUGAUCCAGCCAUGCCGCGUGCGGGAAGAAGGCCUUCGGGUUGUAAACCGCUUUUGUCAGGGAAGAAAUCCUUUGGGUUAAUACCUCGGAGGGAUGACGGUACCUGAAGAAUAAGCACCGGCUAACUACGUGCCAGCAGCCGCGGUAAUCCGUAGGGUGCGAGCGUUAAUCGGAAUUACUGGGCGUAAAGCGUGCGCAGGCGGUUUUGUAAGAUCGAUGUGAAAUCCCCGGGCUCAACCUGGGAACUGCAUUGGUGACUGCAAGGCUGGAGUGCGGCAGAGGGGGAUGGAAUUCCGCGUGUAGCAGUGAAAUGCGUAGAUAUGCGGAGGAACACCGAUGGCGAAGGCAAUCCCCUGGGCCUGCACUGACGCUCAUGCACGAAAGCGUGGGGAGCGAACAGGAUUAGAAACCCGGGUAGUCC
Molecule: ribosomal RNA, 450 nt
Filed under: uncultured bacterium
Lineage: Bacteria
Description: partial 16S ribosomal RNA
Rfam family: Bacterial small subunit ribosomal RNA
Source: RNAcentral